AUGAUUGUGGUGAAAUUGGUUAAACACAUUAAAUUUAGAAUUUAAGCUUUAUGGGUUCAAACCCCAUCAAUCAUA
This 75-nucleotide transfer RNA is filed under the name Starmerella bacillaris. Its description in RNAcentral is "tRNA-Leu". It matches the Rfam family "tRNA". Rfam says of the family: Transfer RNA (tRNA) molecules are approximately 80 nucleotides in length. Their secondary structure includes four short double-helical elements and three loops (D, anti-codon, and T loops). Further hydrogen bonds mediate the characteristic L-shaped molecular structure. tRNAs have two regions of fundamental functional importance: the anti-codon, which is responsible for specific mRNA codon recognition, and the 3' end, to which the tRNAs corresponding amino acid is attached (by aminoacyl-tRNA synthetases). tRNAs cope with the degeneracy of the genetic code in two manners: having more than one tRNA (with a specific anti-codon) for a particular amino acid; and 'wobble' base-pairing, i.e. permitting non-standard base-pairing at the 3rd anti-codon position. The record is from RNAcentral. Lineage: Eukaryota; Fungi; Ascomycota; Dipodascomycetes; Dipodascales; Trichomonascaceae.